Molecule: ribosomal RNA, 1116 nt
Filed under: Triticum aestivum (bread wheat)
Lineage: Eukaryota; Viridiplantae; Streptophyta; Magnoliopsida; Poales; Poaceae
Description: partial small subunit ribosomal RNA
Source: RNAcentral
AUGCUCCACCGAUGCCGCGCCCUCUCCCAGCUCCUCUCGGCCCCAUCUGCCUCUCCCAUCUCCCAGCUCCUCGGCUACCACAGUCGGCUCCUCUCAGCGGCCGCGCCCGUCGGUCCCCCAAACCCUAGCUUCGCCGUCGAGGACUACCUCGUCUCCACCUGCGGCCUCACCCGACCCCAGGCCCUCAAGGCCUCCCCCAAGCUCUCCCACCUCAAGUCCCCCUCCAAGCCCGACGCCGUCCUCGCCUUCCUCGCCGGCCUCGGCCUCUCCGGCGCCGACGUGGCCGCCGUCGUCGCCAGGGACCCCCGGUUCCUUUGCGCCGGCGUGGGGACAAUACUGGCCCCCAACCUCGCCGCGCUCACCGGCAUCGGUCUCUCGCGCUCUGACAUCGCGCGCCUCGUCUUGGUCGCCGGCAACCAGUUCCGCCGUAGAUCCAUCGUCACCAAUCUACACUACUGCCUGUGCAUCUUCGGGUCCUACGAGAAUCUCCUCACUGCUAUCAAGCGCAAAUCCUACAUUCUCAUGUCCGACCUCGAGAGGGUGGUCAAGCCCAACGUUGCGCUCCUGCGAGAGUUCGGGCUUGGUCCUUGUGAUAUUGCCAAGCUGUGCGUCGCCCACCCAUGGCUGCUCACCUGCAACGUAGAGCGUAUCCGGGCGACGGUGUUGCGUGUCGAUGUUCUGGGUAUACCCCGAUGGUCUGGGAUGUUUUGGCAUGCGAUGGGUGCUGUUGCAUUCGUCAGCGAGGAGAAAAUCGCUGCCGCAGUGGAGCACUUGAAGAAAAUGUUCAGGUGGUCAGAUGCUGAGGUGGGUAUUGCUAUUUCCAAGGCUCCAAAUGUGCUGAAUAAGACUAAGGAGUCUCUGCAGAGAAGCCUGGAGGGCCGGCUAAGGCCCCGGAGCUAUGUCGUGAAGUUUCUUAAGGCAAAUGGAUUGCUAGAUCCCGGCCGGGACUUGUAUACCGCAGUCACACUGAGUGAGAAGGUAUUCAUGGAGAAGUUCAUAUGCCCUCACAAGGAAGCUGCACCCCACCUUGCUGAAGAUUAUGCAGCAGCUUGCAGAGGGGAAUUGACGGCUAGAUUCAGAUUAAAUGAAGCAGGGAUGGGCCAUGGAAAUUGGUAA